RNAcentral lists this long non-coding RNA (487 nucleotides) under Mytilus galloprovincialis (Mediterranean mussel). The record is from RNAcentral. Lineage: Eukaryota; Metazoa; Mollusca; Bivalvia; Mytilida; Mytilidae.
UUUUUUUUUUAAAAUUAAAAUUUUUUUUUUUUUAAACUAUGGUUUUGGUAGAGAGAAAAAUAUAGUAAAAGCAACAAUCUUACCGUACAUGUGAAUGCAAAAAUUACGAGUUGGAAAUGAAAUUACUGUCCAUUGAUAAUAUUGGAAAUAUUGAAGAAAACAUUAAUAUUGUUCGUGUGUGGUUUGAAAGUCUGUUCUAGUUUGAUCCUUCGGGUUGUCACAAUAGUGCAUAGGUAACUAAUUGUAUCUGUUUCCGUAAGAAUUGUAUGAAUCGUCAUGGAUUGUUUUGAAAUUCGGGCUCACUGAAUUGAGGUUCUGUAGUCGCUAUUCUCAAGUGGCGAUUGACCUGUAUGGUAUCGUUCCUAACAUCACAUAGGUAGAUUUUUACGAAUUGGCUUAGGGUACUGUUUGUCUCCUCAUGGUUGAUAAAUUUCUGUCUACACCUGGUAAGGUCGUUUUCUUUGUUGUAAUAAAGAAGGUUUUGGUC